RNAcentral lists this ribosomal RNA (773 nucleotides) under Streptococcus anginosus. Its description in RNAcentral is "bacterial SSU rRNA". It matches the Rfam family "Bacterial small subunit ribosomal RNA", at positions 28 to 776 of the family's 1533-position model. The record is from RNAcentral. Lineage: Bacteria; Bacillati; Bacillota; Bacilli; Lactobacillales; Streptococcaceae.
GACGAACGCUGGCGGCGUGCCUAAUACAUGCAAGUAGGACGCACAGUUUAUACCGUAGCUUGCUACACCAUAGACUGUGAGUUGCGAACGGGUGAGUAACGCGUAGGUAACCUGCCUAUUAGAGGGGGAUAACUAUUGGAAACGAUAGCUAAUACCGCAUAACAGUAUGUAACACAUGUUAGAUGCUUGAAAGAUGCAAUUGCAUCGCUAGUAGAUGGACCUGCGUUGUAUUAGCUAGUAGGUAGGGUAAAGGCCUACCUAGGCAACGAUACAUAGCCGACCUGAGAGGGUGAUCGGCCACACUGGGACUGAGACACGGCCCAGACUCCUACGGGAGGCAGCAGUAGGGAAUCUUCGGCAAUGGGGGGAACCCUGACCGAGCAACGCCGCGUGAGUGAAGAAGGUUUUCGGAUCGUAAAGCUCUGUUGUUAAGGAAGAACGAGUGUGAGAAUGGAAAGUUCAUACUGUGACGGUACUUAACCAGAAAGGGACGGCUAACUACGUGCCAGCAGCCGCGGUAAUACGUAGGUCCCGAGCGUUGUCCGGAUUUAUUGGGCGUAAAGCGAGCGCAGGCGGUUAGAAAAGUCUGAAGUGAAAGGCAGUGGCUCAACCAUUGUAGGCUUUGGAAACUGUUUAACUUGAGUGCAGAAGGGGAGAGUGGAGUUCCAUGUGUAGCGGUGAAAUGCGUAGAUAUAUGGAGGAACACCGGUGGCGAAAGCGGCUCUCUGGUCUGUAACUGACGCUGAGGCUCGAAAGCGUGGGGAGCGAACAGG